CUCUCUUCCCUACUCACGAGAAUCCACAACUAUGCCUUCACUCUUCUAGACUUCCCCCUUUCUUUCUGCUAUUAUUUUUUGUCAAUUACACCGAAUCACCCUUUUAAUAAUCUCAAUAAUAGAUUAGUAGUUUGGAACUCUAAGAAGAAGGGAGACCUGAAGGAUGAAGAUCUGUAAAUUUCUCUCUCCAAUUGUUGAUUUUCACUAUCGAUUUUCGCUUUCUGGUUUUUAAUUUUGGUGUUUGAGUGAAAAUAUAAUAUAAUUUGAUUUCUUUUAUGUGAUUCCGACGAUGCAGAAUCCGAUGUUUCGUUGCUUGUAAUUAAGAUGGUGAGAUUAGGGAUUGCGCAAAUUUUACACAAAUAAUUAACACUCUCCACGAUGAUUCACCAUAAUGAGGUACAAAAUGUUGUGACUUGUGAGCGUCGUGCUUACUAUGACAUUGCCAAAACCUUGUCAGUUACCUGACCAAAAAAAUGCAUCAAGGAAUGUCUCUGCUGCAAGGAAUGUUACGUGUUACCUAACACCACUUAUUGGAGCUGUCUUAGCAGAUGCAUAUUGGGGAAUAUAUAGGACAAUUUUUGUGUUCUCCAUGAUUUAUUUGAUUGUAAUUUCUGGAUGAUAUCAUUUUCUUCUUCUCUUUUCUUCCUACUUUGACUUUUCGCAUUAAACACAUAUGACAUCUUUUAUAUGCACUUGGCAUGUUUUUGAUUGAUUAAGACAAUUUUAGGAUUUUGAUCAAACAAAAAACUUAAGAGGAAUUGGUAUUAUCUGUGCCAGUUGUAAAACUAUGUGAGUACUUUGUGAUUGAGGAAAAAUGUCUAGGUUAACGUUUUUCCCUCCAAUAAUUUUAGCGUAGAUAAUUUUGGCUUGUUCACAGUUAUAUGUUGUCACUAUUGCGCUCUUUUGUGUUGUCCAGCUCAGAUUAUAUAUCUGUUGAUGGAUAUGCUCUCUGAUGAGUUCAUUUGAGUUUUGUUGUUUGUGAAUACUUUGUAAUA
Molecule: long non-coding RNA, 995 nt
Organism: Spinacia oleracea (spinach)
Lineage: Eukaryota; Viridiplantae; Streptophyta; Magnoliopsida; Caryophyllales; Amaranthaceae
Exons: 3
Source: RefSeq, a predicted model, not a curated record